GAUGAACGCUGGCGGCGUGCCUAAUACAUGCAAGUCGAGCGAACAGACGAGGAGCUUGCUCCUCUGACGUUAGCGGUGGACGGGUGAGUAACACGUGGAUAACCUACCUAUAAGACUGGGAUAACUUCGGGAAACCGGGGCUAAUACCGGAUAACAUGUUGAACCGCAUGGUUCAACAGUGAAAGACGGUCUUGCUGUCACUUAUAGAUGGAUCCGCGCCGCAUUAGCUAGUUGGCAAGGUAACGGCUUACCAAGGCAACGAUGCGUAGCCGACCUGAGAGGGUGAUCGGCCACACUGGAACUGAGACACGGUCCAGACUCCUACGGGAGGCAGCAGUAGGGAAUCUUCCGCAAUGGGCGAAAGCCUGACGGAGCAACGCCGCGUGAGUGAAGAAGGUCUUCGGAUCGUAAAACUCUGUUAUUAGGGAAGAACAAAUGUGUAAGUAGCUAUGCACGUCUUGACGGUACCUAAUCAGAAAGCCACGGCUAACUACGUGCCAGCCGCCGCGGUAA
Molecule: ribosomal RNA, 513 nt
Filed under: uncultured bacterium
Lineage: Bacteria
Description: partial 16S ribosomal RNA
Rfam family: Bacterial small subunit ribosomal RNA
Source: RNAcentral